Gavialis gangeticus (Gharial) is the source of this 115-nucleotide long non-coding RNA. RefSeq lists it as uncharacterized. The record is from RefSeq and is a predicted model, not a curated record. The transcript is spliced from 3 exons. Lineage: Eukaryota; Metazoa; Chordata; Crocodylia; Gavialidae.
UUUGGUUUCAUGCUGGACCAUCCUGCUUUUAAACCCUUUGUCACCCCUGUCCAUUUCUGAAGGAGGAUGGGACAGCAAAAAGUCCUGUUUUUCAGUUCAUUGGUUGAAAUAUAUG